RNAcentral lists this ribosomal RNA (509 nucleotides) under Pelobates cultripes (western spadefoot toad). Its description in RNAcentral is "SSU_rRNA_eukarya". It matches the Rfam family "Eukaryotic small subunit ribosomal RNA", at positions 70 to 590 of the family's 1831-position model. Lineage: Eukaryota; Metazoa; Chordata; Amphibia; Anura; Pelobatidae. The record is from RNAcentral.
UUUUUAAAAAAAAAAAAAUAUAUAUAUAUAUAUAUAUUUAUUUUUUUUUUUUAAUUGGGGUAGCCCCCAAAAUAUUGGGACAUAUAAAAAAGGACAACUCUGUUCCGCAGAGUAGCUGUUGACAUUAUAGUUGCACAGGCACUUUGUUGACUCUUGAGAACCUCGGGCCAAUCGCACAUCCCCGUGACGGUGACGUUGCAUUCAGAUGUCAUCCAUAUCUACAUUUGAUGCCAGUUUCUGCGCCUACCAUGGUGACCACGGGUAAUGGGGAAUCAGGGUUCCAUUCCGUACAGGGACCCUGAGAAAUGGCUACCACAUGCAAGGAAGGCAGCAGGCAGACAAAUAACCCACUCCCGACGCGGAAGGUAGUGACGACAAAUAACAAUACAGGACUCUUUAGAGGCCCUGUAAUUGUAAUGAGUCCACUUGAAAUCCUUUAACUCUGAUCAAUUGGAGGGAAGUCUGGUGCAGAGCCACUGACCCGUGCGUGCUGCAGCUGAAACUCCACU